Molecule: ribosomal RNA, 254 nt
Filed under: uncultured bacterium
Lineage: Bacteria
Description: partial 16S ribosomal RNA
Rfam family: Bacterial small subunit ribosomal RNA
Source: RNAcentral
UACGGGGGAUGCAAGCGUUAUCCGGAUUUAUUGGGUUUAAAGGGUGCGUAGGCUGUGAGGUAAGUCAGCGGUGAAAUGCCCCCGCUCAACGGGGUGAAGUGCCAUUGAUACUGCCUUGCUGGAAUGCGGAUGCCGUGGGAGGAAUGUGUGGUGUAGCGGUGAAAUGCAUAGAUAUCACACAGAACACCGAUUGCGAAGGCAUCUCACGAAUCCGCGAUUGACGCUGAUGCACAAAAGCGUGGGUAUCAAACAGG